UCUGCGCCUGGCCCGGCGACUGCGGGCGCUGCGGUCCACUGGGUCCGCCUCUUCCCGGCAUGGGUUUCUGCCCAGCUCACCCGCUGUCAGCUGGGGUCCUGCUCUGGUGGGAGGAAGAGGCUCAGACGCUUCCCUGCCCUCUCGCCUCAACCACCUCGAGGCAGCGGCUCCCAGGAUGUGCACUUUGACGACUAAAGCUGAGCCGGCGCCGCCACGACCUUGGGCGGGUGGUCGGCCUCUGCCCUGAGCAGGAAGUAGAAAGUCUCAGCAGACCCUUCCUGAGGGCCGAGCAACAGUGUAGUGGCGUAUUCCACAUAGCAAACAGAUGUACACUAGAUUUUGAUGGCAUUUUUCCAGGGACCCUGGGAGCAUCUGUGUUCUCGUGUUCUUCUUGCCUGUGAGGCCUCUUCUCUCUGAGGACAGAUGGUAGGACAGAGAGAAGACAGCAAAUGGAAAACAAAGGCUGCUAUUUUUUUGUGGGAGAAAAAGUCAUGUGAUGACACACCAAGAAGGUGGCUGUCUGCAAGCCAGGAAGAGAGGCCUUACCAGAAACCAAUCCUGGUGCACCUUAAUCUCAAACUUGAGCCUCCAGGACUGUACGAAAAUAAAUAUUUGUUGUGUAAGCACCCCCAGUGUAUGCUAUUCUGUUAUGGCAGCCCUAGCACACUAAUAUAAAUGCCUACUGCCUGCAAAGUGCUUUGCCUUUGAGGGUUGCAAAAGAGGAUCCCCUCCAGGGAUCCAUGGUCUCAUUGGGAUUUUCCUGUUUGGUCUGUGUCCUGUUCUUGAGUCUCCGCAGGCAGCAUUUCUUCCUGUGACAAUAUGGUGUAAGACAAAAUUGUGGCCUGCCAUGAAGUUGUGAGAGAAAAGCAUCCCUCAUUUCUUCAGGAAAGGCCACUGCCGUUCCCUCCGGCUCCUCUUCUCAGGAGUUUGUGCAUUCAUGAGGUGAAUUCCUUGGAAGAUGAGGGCCAAGUCUUAUUCUUCUCAGUCUCUUCUGCAUCUAGCAGAAGAAUAAUGGUUGCACAGAAAAUCUUGGUUCAGUGGUUGAGUGAAUGAAUGGAUGAACAGGCUCUUGCACACAAAGAAGAGACAUGAUGUAUUUGCAUCCUUCCCUGCUUCAGCCAGUUUUCUGAAGCUCAGAGGGACACCUUGUAUUGCUGGAUGAUAAAAACAGGAGCAAAGUGAUGAAGUGCUGACAAGGCAACAAUAGAACAUGAGAGAUUCACUGCUGUGUAGGAAGAGAUCUUCGGUGACCAUGUAGCCUGAAGCUCUCAUUUUGUCAUCGAGGGACACCAAAACUCAGAACAGCAGCAGCUCACGCUGCUGAUGCAACACAGGUGAAGAGCACCUUCCCCUCCCCCACCUGUGGGCUGAUUCCCACCACGUGGAUCCCAAGGCCAUCCCAGGAACUCUUUGGAGGGGAGAAGCCCAGUGGAAACUGUCAGGCCUCUGAGCACAAGCCAAGCCAUCGCAUCCCCUGUGACUUGCACGUAUAUGCCCAGAUGGCCUGAAGUAACUGAAGAAUCACAAAAGAAGUGAAAAGGCCCUGCCCCACCUUAACUGAUGACAUUCCACCAUUGUGAUUUGUUCCUGCCCCACCUUCACUGAGUGAUUAACCCUGUGAAUUUCCUUCUCCUGGCUCAGAAGCUCCCCCACUGAGCACCUUGUGACCCCCGCCCCUGCCCACCAGAGAACAACCCCCUUUGACUGUAAUUUUCCAUUACCUUCCCAAAUCCUAUAAAACGGCCCCACCCCUAUCUCCCUUCGCUGACUCUCUUUUCGGACUCAGCCCGCCUGCACCCAGGUGAAAUAAACAGCCAUGUUGCUCAC
This 1827-nucleotide long non-coding RNA is filed under the name Homo sapiens (human). RNAcentral's name for it is "HSALNT0293973". The record is from RNAcentral. Lineage: Eukaryota; Metazoa; Chordata; Mammalia; Primates; Hominidae.